This 492-nucleotide ribosomal RNA is filed under the name uncultured bacterium. Its description in RNAcentral is "partial 16S ribosomal RNA". It matches the Rfam family "Bacterial small subunit ribosomal RNA", at positions 29 to 507 of the family's 1533-position model. The record is from RNAcentral.
AGUGAACGCUGGCGGUAGGCCUAACACAUGCAAGUCGAACGGCAGCACAGUAAGAGCUUGCUCUUACGGGUGGCGAGUGGCGGACGGAUGAGGAAUACAUCGGAAUCUACUUUUUCGUGGGGGAUAACGUAGGGAAACUUACGCUAAUACCGCAUACGACCUACGGGUGAAAGCAGGGGAUCUUCGGACCUUGCGCGAUUGAAUGAGCCGAUGUCGGAUUAGCUAGUUGGCGGGGUAAAGGCCCACCAAGGCGACGAUCCGUAGCUGGUCUGAGAGGAUGAUCAGCCACACUGGAACUGAGACACGGUCCAGACUCCUACGGGAGGCGGCAGUGGGGAAUAUUGGACAAUGGGCGCAAGCCUGAUCCAGCCAUACCGCGUGGGUGAAGAAGGCCUUCGGGUUGUAAAGCCCUUUUGUUGGGAAAGAAAAGCAGCAGGUUAAUACCCCGCUGUUCUGACGGUACCCAAAGAAUAAGCACCGGCUAACUUCGUG